UACGUAGGCAGCGAGCGUUGUUCGGAAUUACUGGGCGUAAAGAGUGUGUAGGCGGUGCUCCCAGUCUGUCGUGAAAUCUCCCGGCUCAACUGGGAGGGUGCGGCGGAAACUAGAGUGCUCGAGUGUGGGAGAGGUAAGCGGAAUUCCUGGUGUAGAGGUGAAAUGCGUAGAUAUCAGGAGGAACACCUGCGGUGUAGACAGCGUACUGGAACACGACUGACGCUGAGACACGAAAGCGUGGGGAGCAAACAGG
This 253-nucleotide ribosomal RNA is filed under the name uncultured bacterium. Its description in RNAcentral is "partial 16S ribosomal RNA". It matches the Rfam family "Bacterial small subunit ribosomal RNA", at positions 524 to 776 of the family's 1533-position model. The record is from RNAcentral.